Cervus elaphus (red deer) is the source of this 585-nucleotide long non-coding RNA. RefSeq lists it as uncharacterized. Lineage: Eukaryota; Metazoa; Chordata; Mammalia; Artiodactyla; Cervidae. The record is from RefSeq and is a predicted model, not a curated record. The transcript is spliced from 2 exons.
AGGAGCAGCAGAACCGAGGCCGCGAGGCCCAUCCGGAUGAGAUUCUGCACCGUGUAGUCUGGGGUGAGGGCGCACAGGUCAGCGCCGGCCCGUCACCCGGAACCGGGGUGUGCGCCCAGGGCACCCGCCUCCCGGGAGAGGACGUGGCCCCGAGCCCAGCCCCUGACGGGGACGCUGUCCUCCUCCUCACUCUGGGUCUGACCGCGGUGAUGGGGGAGGGUGUCAGGGGGCCCGAGGGUGCUGAAGGGAGGCUGUGGGUGGGCCGUGUCCUCCUCGGGGAGCCUCCCGGGGCCUCUCUGUCUUACUGUCUCAGACGUUCCUGCUCAGGACCCUGAGCUGACGGAGCUCAGACAGCACAGGAUGGGGCCCGCCCCUGAGCGGUGGUCUGCGGGGUCCCGGGGACCCACCACCGCUCCCCACAGCCACUGGCUCAGCCCUCUUCGUCUGCGGGCUUGAUUCUACCCGGGGGAGGGGGCGAUCCCUGGAGCCUCCGGGGGCAGGAUGGGGUGGAGGCGGGCCUGCUUCUCCCCAGACUGACCCCCCUCCCGCAGCCUCAGGCCCCUACAGCCUGUGGUUCCCGCGCCU